RNAcentral lists this ribosomal RNA (255 nucleotides) under uncultured Gigaspora. Its description in RNAcentral is "partial 18S ribosomal RNA". It matches the Rfam family "Eukaryotic small subunit ribosomal RNA", at positions 624 to 886 of the family's 1831-position model. The record is from RNAcentral. Lineage: Eukaryota; Fungi; Glomeromycota; Glomeromycetes; Diversisporales; Gigasporaceae.
AAGCUCGUAGUUGAAUUUCGGGGUUCUACCGUUGGUCGGGCAAUAGUCUGUACUGGCGUGUAGAAUUUCUACCUUCUGGGGAACUAUCAUGUUAUUUAUUUAGCGUGGUAGGAAACCAGGACCUUUACCUUGAAAAAAUUAGUGUGUUCAAAGCAGGCUUACGUCUGAAUACAUUAGCAUGGAAUAAUAAAAUAGGACGGUGGUCCUGUUUUGUUGGUUUCUGAAUCACCGUAAUGAUUAAUAGGGAUAGUUGGG